Molecule: ribosomal RNA, 1538 nt
Filed under: Boveria subcylindrica
Lineage: Eukaryota; Ciliophora; Oligohymenophorea; Thigmotrichida; Hemispeiridae
Description: LSU rRNA
Rfam family: Eukaryotic large subunit ribosomal RNA
Source: RNAcentral
GCGGUUAGAGGGUAGUCACAUUGUGUUUGAUUUUGACGAGAGCUGGAUUUGGUUGCUGAAUAAUUAUAGAUUCGUAAAAUUGAUCUACUUAUUAUUUAGUCAAUAACAAACAGUUGCGUCUUAUUCAAAUGCAUAAGAAAGAUUGAACAUUAAAGUGCGGGAAUAAACAGAAGGGAUUUCGACCUGAGGACUUUUGUACUUAGAGCUCUUCUGCAAAAACCGGGACUUAAUGUUGAGGGAAUUUAUCCUUUUUGGAGAAUCUUUUUUAUUAAGACGACUCUAACUGACCCGUCUUGAAACACGGACCAAGGAGUGUACCAAUCAUGCAAGUGAUAGGGUGUAGAAACCUGUAUCGCGUAGAGAAAUCGAGUAAAAGCAGCUAAUAACAAUGCAGCUGCGGCCUACCCUGAGUAUAUUACGAAGGGCUAGAGCAAGAGCAAGCUUGGUACGACCCGAAAGAUGGUGAACUACGCUUGAGUACGCCGAAGCCAGGGGAAACUCUGGUGGAAGGUGGAAGCGAUACUGACGUGCAAAUCGUUCGUCAAACUUGGGUGUAGGGGCGAAAGACUAAUCGAACCAUCUAGUAGCUGGUUCCCUCUGAAGUUUCUCUCAGGAUAGCUAAAGCCAUUUUUUUUAUAAAAUAGUUUUAUCAGGUAAAGCGAAUGAUUAGAGGAUCCGGCGUUCAAAGAGCGUUGACCUAUUCUCAAACUUUAAAUUGGUAAGCACUCUUAGUUUACUUAAAUGAACUAAGGGGAAGAAUAUAGGGCUUUAAGUGGGCCAUUUUUGGUAAGCAGAACUGGCGAUGAGGGAUGCUCCUUUCGUUGAGAUAAGGUGCCAAAAUCCCCGCUUAUCAGACACCAUAAAAGAUGUUGGUUCAUUUAGACAGCAGGACGGUGGCCCUGGAAGUCGGAACCCGCUAAGGAGUGUGUAACAACUCACCUGCCGAAUGAACUAGCUCUGAAAAUUGAUGGCGCUCAGCGGGGUACCGAUACUCAACCAUUGCUGUAAAUAAGAAACAAAGCAAUGCGUAAGAGGGCGUAGAUGUCAUAUAUUUUGUGUGUAGAAGGCUAAGGUGUAAACCUGGCUGGAACGGCAUCUAGUGCAGAUCUUGGUGGUAGUAGCAAAUAUUCAAAUGAGAACUUUGAAGACCGAAGUGGGGAAGGGUUCCGCGAGAACAGUAAUUGGUCGCGGGUUAGUCGGUCCUAAGGCUAAGGCAAACGCCGAUUUAAAGCAUAGAGAACUUAAUUGAUCUCUGCUGCCGAAAGGGAAAGUGGUUAACAUUCCACUACCUGCAUACGGAUAUUAUGCGGUAACGCAAACAAUCCUGAAGACGUCGGCAUGUGUCACUGGAAGAGUUCUCUUUUCUUUUUAACUAGUCAUGACCAUGGAACUGGAUUAUCCAGAGAUGUGGUUGUACGCUAGGCAGAGCAGUCCACUCUACGGGCUGUCAGUUGCACACAUGACGAUCAAUGAAAAUUCGGGGGCGAGGAUUAUUUCGUUGCAGGCCGUACCCAUAACCGCAUCAGGUCUCCAAGGUU